Molecule: non-coding RNA, 844 nt
Organism: Delphinapterus leucas (beluga whale)
Lineage: Eukaryota; Metazoa; Chordata; Mammalia; Artiodactyla; Monodontidae
Source: RefSeq, a predicted model, not a curated record
AGCCGUAGAGGUACCUCAGGGCGAAGCUGAUGCGGCCGCAGGGCGCCCCCGCGCCGGCCUCUCCGGAACCUGGGGCCCCGCCGCCCCGCCGGCCGCCGGGUCCAGUGCCCUGGUACAACUCCGGCUUGAUCUGUCCGAUGAGCUUGGCUUUUUCCUCACCGCCUGGGCACCCAGCACAGCUUCCAGGACACGAAGAGGGAGACACCCAGAAGGACAAUGCCACAGAACGUCACGAUGACCGACAGCAGGCUCACGGAGAUGUCUGGAGAGAGUGAGGACAAAGGCUCUCUCCCCAUGUGGCGAUGUGAUGGUCCCCAGCAGCUCCAACCUAGGCUGCGACCGGCCUGGCAACCUCAUUGGAAAAAGAAAGAUCCUCUUUGCUAACAGGUCCGGCAAAAGUCCAAGGGUUGAAUCUGUAUCCUACGAUGAUUUUUAAGUUCAUCCCUGAACAAAUGACUCAGAAAAUCAAGGUGCUACUGCGUAACAAGCAGGGAAUCAAUGUUUAUCAAGCAGGAAUAAUUGACAGUUAAGGCAGAGACCAGAUGAAUUCGAGAGAAGACUAGAGAUACGGGUAACAGAGACAGACUGGGAAGAUAGACAAAGUAACUGAAAAAGUCUGCGCUCCUCUCCCAUGGUUCCUGCUGAGAGCUCUGCAGACACAAAGAAGGGAUGCCCAGUGGGCACCUCUGUGGCUAAACUCCUUCACUCCUGCCCUUGGGGUCAGGAGCCCCCAGCCCCUCCCCCAUCCACUGGAGGUACCAUGGCAACCAGGCCCCCUGCUCACCUUUCCCUCCCCCAUAUGGAACCCAGUUUCUGUUUGAAUCGCACCUGUACCUAACCAGUU